CGGGUCGCGUCCGUCGACGUCCGAGGACGGCGUGCACUUCUCUCUUAGUAAAUACAUCGCGACCCGUUCGAUGUCGGUCUAAGCGCCGUACGGGAGCCCCGUUGCCCCUUCGCGGGGGUAGUGGGACCGCGACGGUGGCCGACCGGCCGUCGGACGGUAGUUCUGACGAAUCGCGCACGCGUUCUACACGCGUCCGGCCCGACGCAAGUCAACGUCGUAUCAUACGUCUACGCCAUAGUGCGGACGUGUGUGCGGCGCGUCUGGUGUCGCAGCCGUGCUGUCUCGGACUGUGCGC
RNAcentral lists this ribosomal RNA (295 nucleotides) under Spodoptera frugiperda (fall armyworm). Its description in RNAcentral is "partial large subunit ribosomal RNA". Lineage: Eukaryota; Metazoa; Arthropoda; Insecta; Lepidoptera; Noctuidae. The record is from RNAcentral.